UUACGACUACAUAUCAGGCAUAUCAAUAAGCGGAGGAAAAGAAACUAACAAGGAUUCCCCUAGUAACGGCGAGUGAAGCGGGAAGAGCUCAAAUUUGAAAUCUUAAAGGGUUUCCCUUUACGAAUUGUAGUUUAAAGAAGUGUUUUCUGUUGGAGUUUCGGUAAAAGUUCUUUGGAAUAGGACAUCAUAGAGGGUGAGAAUCCCGUAUUUGACCGUUACUUUCCAGCUGUGUGAUACACUUUCAAAGAGUCGGAUUGUUUGGGAAUGCAGUCCAAGAUGGGUGGUAAAUUUCAUCUAAAGCUAAAUAUUGGCGAGAGACCGAUAGCGAACAAGUACCGUGAGGGAAAGAUGAAAAGAACUUUGAAAAGAGAGUUAAACAGUACGUGAAAUUGUCAAAAGGGAAGCGUUUGACACCAGUGUUGUUUUUCCAAAAAUCAAUUACGAAUGGCUUGAUUUUGUGCUGUAUUGACCUUAUCAGCUUUCUUCACUUUUUUCGAGUCUUUCUUAAUGCACUUUUUCGGUUAACAAGUCAACAUCAAUUUCUUUUGUUGUAAAAGAGUAUUCGGAAGGUGGCUUUCUUUUCGGAGAAAGUGUUUAUAGCCCUAUACUUCUACAAUCGGAGAGAUUGAGGUCUGCAGCGUAGAUCCUUCGGGGUUAGAUACAUUUGUGCUAAGUUGUAGCUUUUCAUAGACAACUUGUUGACUAUGUUUAGUCAUGCGGCUUACUCGCUUAUGCUACUUUACCUACGCUUAGGAUGUUGAGUAGCGACAUACGCAC
This 777-nucleotide ribosomal RNA is filed under the name uncultured Neocallimastigales. RNAcentral's name for it is "partial large subunit ribosomal RNA". It matches the Rfam family "Eukaryotic large subunit ribosomal RNA", at positions 24 to 649 of the family's 3401-position model. Lineage: Eukaryota; Fungi; Neocallimastigomycota; Neocallimastigomycetes; Neocallimastigales. The record is from RNAcentral.